AUUGGCGUAGCUUAAUUGAAAGCAUGAGAUUCUUACUCUUAGGAUAGCAGCUUUGCUCGUUAAUA
Molecule: transfer RNA, 65 nt
Filed under: Eudiplozoon nipponicum
Lineage: Eukaryota; Metazoa; Platyhelminthes; Monogenea; Mazocraeidea; Diplozoidae
Description: tRNA-Lys
Rfam family: tRNA
About the family: Transfer RNA (tRNA) molecules are approximately 80 nucleotides in length.
Source: RNAcentral